CUCCUCCUGGAAGCCUUGCACCAUCCAAAGAGGGAGCCCGAUGCUAACGGGAUAGAGAAAGCGGCGAUCCGGAGAGCUUCGAUUUCCCCCCCCUUCGACUGUGGCGCGCCUGGCAGGAAAUCCAUAUUUCGAAGCUUAUACUUCGCUUGAUCUGGAUGCAGGCAGGUGCUCUAGAGAUGAAGUCCCGGCAACAAGAGACAUGCUCUCACAGACGCCAUGCUGGCCUCAGUCAAGCUACAGAUAAUUCAGAUCAUACAAGCAGAUUUUCUAAGGCGAAAGACUACCAUAGAGGAGCUCUCCCUUAUACAAAUGGAAACUGGAGCAAUAACAUGCUUAUAAAUAACAUUCCUCAUUACUAGACAAGGCCCAAGCCUGCAUA
Ahaetulla prasina is the source of this 379-nucleotide long non-coding RNA. RefSeq lists it as uncharacterized. The record is from RefSeq and is a predicted model, not a curated record. Lineage: Eukaryota; Metazoa; Chordata; Lepidosauria; Squamata; Colubridae. The transcript has 3 exons.